UACGGGGGGAGCAAGCGUUGUUCGGAUUUACUGGGCGUAAAGCGUGCGCAGGCGGUUUGCUAAGACAGGUGUGAAAUCCCCGGGCUUAACCUGGGAACUGCGCUUGUUACUGGCAAGCUGGAGUGUGGCAGAGGGGGGUGGAAUUCCACGUGUAGCAGUGAAAUGCGUAGAGAUGUGGAGGAACACCGAUGGCGAAGGCAGCCCCCUGGGCUAACACUGACGCUCAUGCACGAAAGCGUGGGGAGCAAACAGG
RNAcentral lists this ribosomal RNA (253 nucleotides) under uncultured bacterium. RNAcentral describes it as "partial 16S ribosomal RNA". It matches the Rfam family "Bacterial small subunit ribosomal RNA", at positions 524 to 776 of the family's 1533-position model. The record is from RNAcentral.